RNAcentral lists this ribosomal RNA (533 nucleotides) under uncultured bacterium. RNAcentral's name for it is "bacterial SSU rRNA". It matches the Rfam family "Bacterial small subunit ribosomal RNA", at positions 56 to 539 of the family's 1533-position model. The record is from RNAcentral.
UGCAAGUCGAGCGGAGAGAGGUAGCUUGCUACUGAUCUUAACGGCGGACGGGUGAGUAAUGCUUAUGAAUCUGCCUAUUAGUGGGGGACAACAUUUCGAAAGGAAUGCUAAUACCGCAUACGUCCUACGGGAGAAAGCAGGGGAUCUUCGGACCUUGCGCUAAUAGAUGAGCCUAAGUCGGAUUAACUAGUUGGUGGGGUAAAGGCCUACCAAGGCGACGAUCUGUAGCGGGUCUGACAGGAUGAUCCGCCACACUGGGACUGAGACACGGCCCAGACUCCUACGGGAGGCAGCAGUGGGGAAUAUUGGACAAUGGGCGCAGGCCUGAUCCACCCAUGCCGCGUGUGUGAAGAAGGACUUAAGGUUGUAAAGCACUUUAAACAAUGACGACGGAACAGUUACUCAAUAUUUAUAAAUAACCGAAGGUUACCGUCACUCACAGAAUAAGCACCCUCUAUCUCCGCCGCCCCCAGCAUCAGCAAUGCUGCGGGUGCUACCCGCUGUUCAUUAUUUACUAAAGCGUAUGCACCCCC